UACAUGGGGUGCAAACGUUGCUCGGAAUUAUUGGGCGUAAAGCGCGCGUAGGCGGUUACUUAAGUCGGAUGUGAAAGCCCUCGGCUUAACUGAGGAAGUGCACCCGAAACUGAGUAGCUAGAGUACGAAAGAGGGUCGCGGAAUUCCCGGUGUAGAGGUGAAAUUCGUAGAUAUCGGGAGGAACACCAGUGGCGAAGGCGGCGACCUGGGCCAAUACUGACGCUGAGGUGCGAAAGCGUGGGGAGCAAACAGG
Molecule: ribosomal RNA, 253 nt
Filed under: uncultured bacterium
Lineage: Bacteria
Description: partial 16S ribosomal RNA
Rfam family: Bacterial small subunit ribosomal RNA
Source: RNAcentral